This 23-nucleotide non-coding RNA is filed under the name Mus musculus (house mouse). Lineage: Eukaryota; Metazoa; Chordata; Mammalia; Rodentia; Muridae. The record is from RNAcentral.
UAAGAGCCUGGAGCGGGUGCAGG